GACAGCCUGAGAUGCUAGUUGCUUCUAUAUUUUUGAACCUUCAUGACUUAAACGGGAGUCCGGGUUAAGUGGAAUGCUAUCGCGCCAACGGCUUCGGCCGAGCUUGGAAGAUAAAAGACCGCUGCAGGACACCCACCUGACGAAUUUGUUGGGUGUCAAAAAGGGAGCGACUCAUUUCAGGUUUAUU
This 187-nucleotide non-coding RNA is filed under the name Clostridiaceae bacterium. Its description in RNAcentral is "6S RNA". It matches the Rfam family "6S / SsrS RNA". From Rfam's summary of the family: E. coli 6S RNA was the first non coding RNA to be sequenced, but its function was unknown until recently. The record is from RNAcentral. RNAcentral also lists the same sequence under 1 other name. Lineage: Bacteria; Bacillati; Bacillota; Clostridia; Eubacteriales; Clostridiaceae.